AGGCGGCAACAACAUCUCCACCUGCUCACUCCUCUUGUCUUAUAAAAACAGCUUACAUGCCCAAUGUCAACAGGUCAAUGUUAUUGUCUUCUUAUGAGAAAUACAUAAAUUCGUUUAAAAUCCAUUAAGGUCCAAAUACUCCGAACUGUCAUUCAUUUUAUAGUUAUUUCUACAAGUCUUCAUGUAUUUGUUUUAAAGGUCUGGUAAGAGCAACAAGUUUUAAAAAAAGAAACAUAUAACAAACAUAAUAAGGAUAAUAAAAAUUAUUACUUAAUACACAAAACUUACAUAACUAUACUGGAGAAAAAAUAUCCAGAAACAAAAGGUACUCUCAA
This 335-nucleotide long non-coding RNA is filed under the name Brassica napus (rape). Its description in RNAcentral is "long non-coding RNA (BNAP_LNC022852)". The record is from RNAcentral. Lineage: Eukaryota; Viridiplantae; Streptophyta; Magnoliopsida; Brassicales; Brassicaceae.